AGUAAUGUGUAGUCUCUUGGGCCAGAUAUUCUUCUAGGGAUUGGUGGAAAAAGAAAAUUAAAUUAAAAUAAAAAACUUCAUAAAAAACUCCUAAAUUCUCCUAUAAAUACCACACCAUCUCUUCCCCUACACCUACAUCUUUUCUCUCUCUUAGCUUACCCUCUCCUAUUCUCUGUCUCUCUCUUUCUUUCUCUUCAUUAGGGUUCUGAUUAUGUUAUGAACCUACCUUCCAUGCUUGUUCAAUUUUUUUCUCUUUCUUUUUGUUUUUGAAAAACCCUUUAUACACUGUCUUGUGGGGCAUCUUCACUCUUCAAUAUCAUGGUCCUCUUUGUAUUCUUCCACAGCUUUCUUGAACUGCAUCCAUAGAGUUCCUUUGCAUGCAUGCCAUGGCACUCUUGCUCCCACACCUUGUUUUGCGGUUCAAUAAAGCUGUGGGAAGAUACAGAUAGGUCCAACAACGAACUAGCUUAUCUCAAACUCCAGAUUCUUCCUCUAAACCUUUCUGUCAAAUUAUAUUAUUAUAUACAUAGGGAUAAGAUUAUAGUGGUGUAUUUGUUUUUUCCUUUUUCUUCUGAUUUGACUUAUUUAAAUCUUUUUCAGAUUUAAAGCAUUGACUUUUCAGAUGCAUAACUCUGUUAUGUGAUCAGAAUUCUGAUAUGCAGUCAUAUGAGAGAAUAAACUUGUACCAAUCGUGUUGAUUUGUGACGAUGAUUCUUCAACAAUUCGGCUUCUUCUUCCGGAAUUAAACCGAUCAGGUAUUGAUUCGAUCGAUCCAAAAUCAAGGAAAUUUGAGCUAACGAUUUCCAUAGAUGCGGAAUCACUGUCCCCAGAUCUUACUCUAAUUAAUUUGUUUGCCUUAAAUUCAUGCCCCUAUUUAAUUUCCUCUUAAUUAAUUUUGUGGAGCAAUCCCAGCCUCGAACUUGAGCUAUAGGAACAUCUACUGGAAGAUGGUGGUUCUUAAUUUGUACAUCAACAUUAUUGAUUCGUGAUGAGGCAUCGCGUAGGCAUAGUCGUUUGAUUUGAAAAUAUUUUUUCUUUUAGUUUUCGUGUCGUAGCUAGCUCUAGUGCUGUCUGUGGUGAAUAUAAUAAUUAUAAUAAUUUGUGCUUGUUAGCUGCUUGUGCUUUUGUCUUGAGCUCACUCGCUCACUCACUCACCUUAUUAGCCUUUUUCUUUUGUUUUGAAAUGGUCUACUGUGUAGCCUCCAAUGCAGGCAGAAGUCACAGUGGAUGAAUGGCCAUCAUUGAGAUUUCUCCAUAGAACAUGUCUCAUUCAAUUCAUUAAACCUUUGAUCUGUGUUUGUACUGUUUUAGUCGGCAAAGUCACAUAUGGUCGAGUAAUUUAAUAUAUAAAUUCCAGGCUGCAGAUUCAGCAUAAGCAGAAUUACAGAUUGUUAGACAAUGGACCACAGAGAGGUGACCAUACUGCCUUUAUCUCUCGUAUGGAACUUCCAACAACUUAUGAAUGCUUUAAAGCCAUUGGUUGGUGACCCUAGCAAGAGGUUAGAUGAAGCUUUUAUGGAAAAUAUUAACCAUAGAAUUCUAAAAAAUUAACCUCCACGACUGUAUUAUGGUGAUUCUUGCUAUAGAACGAACAAGGCUACCUAAAACCAGUGCAGGAGCUGCUUGUGAAGGAAACUAGGGUUUUCCUUUUCCCAAUUAAGUCAGGGACAGCCAUGCUGCGGGAAAUGGGAAUUUUAGACCACCUGCGAGUACUGUUUCUUUCUUUAUCUUGCUUCCCUGUGCCGAGAAUCAGUUCGAAUGAGACCCCUUUUGUUUCUCCCGAAAGAUUUUGAAAUUAGAAACUGUAAAAGCAAUUUCAAGUUAUAGAUAAAGUAAUCGAUCUUGCAUGGCCUAGAAAAAGAAGUGGCCGAUCCCGAUAUUAAUAUCAAUUUUCCACAA
Vigna umbellata (rice bean) is the source of this 1899-nucleotide non-coding RNA. Lineage: Eukaryota; Viridiplantae; Streptophyta; Magnoliopsida; Fabales; Fabaceae. The record is from RefSeq and is a predicted model, not a curated record.